Molecule: ribosomal RNA, 404 nt
Filed under: Fusobacteriota bacterium
Lineage: Bacteria; Fusobacteriati; Fusobacteriota
Description: Fusobacteria bacterium partial 16S ribosomal RNA
Rfam family: Bacterial small subunit ribosomal RNA
Source: RNAcentral
UGGGGAAUAUUGCACAAUGGAGGGAACUCUGAUGCAGCGACGCCGCGUGAGUGAUGAAGGAAUUCGUUUCGUAAAACUCUGUUCUAUGGGAAGAAAAGGACUGUACCAUAGGAGAAAGCUCCGGCUAAAUACGUGCCAGCAGCCGCGGUAAUACGUAUGGAGCGAGCGUUGUCCGGAAUUAUUGGGCGUAAAGGGUGCGCAGGCGGCUUUACAAGUUGGAUGUGAAAUAUUGUGGCUCAACCACAAACGUGCAUCCAAAACUGCAAAGCUUGAGUUAAGGAGAGGUAAGUGGAAUUCCUGGUGUAGCGGUGGAAUGCGUAGAUAUCAGGAGGAAUACCGGAGGCGAAGGCGACUUACUGGACUUAAACUGACGCUCAGGCACGAAAGCGUGGGGAGCAAACAGG